UGAGGAAUAUUGGGCAAUGCCCGCAAGGGUGACCCAGCAACGCCGCGUGGAGGAUGAAUGUCGUAAGAUUGUAAACUCCUGUUAGAGGGGAAGAAUAGUACCGGUUGGACCGGUAUAUGACUGUACCCUCAGAGAAAGCCCCGGCUAACUACGUGCCAGCAGCCGCGGUAAUACGUAGGGGGCAAGCGUUGUCCGGCUUUACUGGGUGUAAAGGGUGCUCAGGCGGAUUUGUAAGUCAGAGGUGAAAUCUCACAGCUUAACUGUGAAACUGCCUUUGAUACUGAAAGCCUAGAGUAUGGAAGAGAGUGAUGGAAUAUCUGGUGUAGCAGUGAAAUGCGUAGAUAUCAGAUAGAACACCCAUGGCGAAGGCAGUCACUUGGUCCAUUACUGACGCUAAAGCACGAAAGCGUGGGUA
Molecule: ribosomal RNA, 415 nt
Filed under: uncultured bacterium
Lineage: Bacteria
Description: bacterial SSU rRNA
Rfam family: Bacterial small subunit ribosomal RNA
Source: RNAcentral